Molecule: ribosomal RNA, 33 nt
Filed under: Anopheles arabiensis
Lineage: Eukaryota; Metazoa; Arthropoda; Insecta; Diptera; Culicidae
Description: partial 18S ribosomal RNA
Source: RNAcentral
GUUUCCGUAGGCGAACCUGCGGAAGGAUCAUUA